UACCCCGGUAGUCCAUACCGUAAACGAUGGGUGCUAGUUGUUAAGAGGUUUCCGCCUCCUAGUGACGUAGCAAACGCAUUAAGCACCCCGCCUGAGGAGUACGGCCGCAAGGCUAAAACUUAAAGGAAUUGACGGGGACCCGCACAAGCGGUGGAGCAUGUGGUUUAAUUCGAAGAUACGCGAAAAACCUUACCAGGUCUUGACAUACCAAUGAUCGCUUUUGUAAUGAAAGCUUUUCUUCGGAACAUUGGAUACAGGUGGUGCAUGGUCGUCGUCAGCUCGUGUCGUGAGAUGUUGGGUUAAGUCCCGCAACGA
RNAcentral lists this ribosomal RNA (315 nucleotides) under Oenococcus oeni. Its description in RNAcentral is "bacterial SSU rRNA". It matches the Rfam family "Bacterial small subunit ribosomal RNA", at positions 783 to 1095 of the family's 1533-position model. The record is from RNAcentral. Lineage: Bacteria; Bacillati; Bacillota; Bacilli; Lactobacillales; Lactobacillaceae.